AAGCUUUAGACAGGCACAAUGGAAAGGCAACACAAGAAAUAAAAGCCUGUCUCAUUCCUCGUCCCCUUAUUCCUGAAAUUUUGCUAUCUCUGGUUUGAUGCAGGGUUUUGUGAAACCUGAAAGCUUGCAUGCAAGUAAUCCAGGACUGUGGAACCUAUGGGCCUUGCUGAUGGGAGUCCAGCAACAUCUUUCAUGCUUAACAGAAUAUAGUAUAUUGAUACAUUUCUUUUUUUCGAAACCAAAAAACCAAAUCUAGUUAUAAAAACCCUGCCAGGGUUAACUGGGAGUUAACUGGCUAUCUCAUAUUGGCCCAAGCUCCGAAAGUCUGGGGAUUGUAAGCUAAGGCUGGUGCCUUACUAGACAUGCACCAUGCUGAGUAAUGAUGCUGUGCAAUGUCACAGAUUGUGCUUGCUUACAACUUACUCUACAAGCACCCCCACUUUCCCUUGGCCUCUCAGGCCCAAAUCCAGAUGGGGAUGAUGGAGUGCCUGAGACCAGCAAAAAUGCCCCAUGUUGCCCUGGUCCUGCAUUGUCUCACAAACCCUUAAGGAUCAUCUGCUUCUUCUGGAACUGUAGUUUGUUAUGGGAAUGGUCAGUCUGUGAGAAGGGAAACUACAAUUCCCAGGAAUCUUUGCGGGAGGAAACAAUAUGCUUUAAACGUGCACUGAAUGUGCUUUAAAUACAUGGUGUUGAUUGUGGGUCAACAGAACUGGGGGAAACCAGUCCACUGUUGUCCCUGAUUAUACUUUUUCUUCUUCUCAUCAACAGGGAGGCUCCUAUAUUAUUGACUGAGGGGCUACACCCAACUGACAACAAAGACAAAUGCCAUUCAGUCAUCUUGUACUAACAGCCACUGCUGUCUUGUUUUUCCUUUUCUAACUCCAGCAGUUGUGUCAUUAAAAAAAUAAAUAUAAAAUGCUGGCCUCUCAGCUUUCACACAAAGGUUUGCCAUAUUUGCAGAGAGAGUUGCACUAUUAUGACCUUGCUUCACACGCCCACAAAUUUUAUGUUGCCUUAGUGCAUGCCCUAGAAGCUUUGCCCAAUGCCUGUGGUCCUUGCAGAACUACAGUCACUGCCAGGCAGCAGCUGAGCUUCUAGGUGAGGGGCAAUGAUAGAACUUGCUCAUACAAGUGCUGCUGACACUUUCCUCCCAUUUAGUGAGCGGUGUUGCAUUUCAGAAAGGAGAUAGGUGGGGCUGAGCAGGCUCAUUUGUCCAAAAAGCACUUGGCAAAACUGGAGUAGCAUAUCAACAAACUCUGGGUUUUCCUUCUGCCCCUGUCUUGGGAGGUUUUCUGUGUUUGCAGGACCUGGAGUUGCAGGUCUGUGGUCAUUAACUAGAAUUGCAUGAAGAGAAUGGAAGGAGACGGGGAUUAGCAGUUGCCUAUUCUAGUAUUUUUGGAGGUGAGAGGAAGGGUAGCUUUCAAUGCACUGCCUCCUUCUGCUGUUAAUCUUCUCCCCAUCUCUUCUCUCUGAUCCCUCAAGGCUGUUAACCUGGUUGUGAAAGAGAUACGCCACUCAUGCUUAGAGCAACUAUAUUUCUGCAACUGAGCCAUAGGAUUCCAAACAAGUUUUAAGUCCAAUUGAGCCUUGGCAUAAAUUUAACCCUGUUUAGUGAAGUGAAAUCAUUGAUGCUAGAGAAAAGACCUGGUAACUUUAAAAGAAAAAUCAGAUGGGAUUCUAAGCACUAAGUUACAUGGGAUGCUCAGUGUGUCUGUCAAGCUGCAGGAAUCUUUAUAAAAAGCUCUAAAUAGGAGUCAUAUGGGGGAGUAAUUGGGAUGGUGACACACCGAAAAUAGCGAUAAAUCUGCUAUCAGGAUUUACCCAUUUUGGUGUUCAGUGUAGCUAUUUACCACGCAACUAUCCUUUUCUACUCUGUGUUCAAGAUCUCUGAAGCAGGAUACUUCCAUUCAGAGGGUGAUCAUAGAUGGAUUGCACCUCCCUCCCACCUCAAAUCCUGGUAAAAUGCAAGCUCUUUCUUUUGUCCCAUUCCACCUAUUAUAAUGACAAGCAUUGUUAAAAAUUCAUUUUGUUGUUACUGAAGGGCAUAAAGAGCUAGGAUAAUGUGGCAUUUUUUCACACAUUAAAUGAAAAGCAUUUGUGCUGUUGUGAAUGAUGUUAAUAGAAGAUAGAAAGCUGCAUUUAUUUAUUUAUGUUCAGCUGGAUUAAAAUUGUAUGAGAACACGUGUCUUUGGUUUGUAAAUAUAAUUUUAAUUUCUCAGUAGCUAAUACACACACACACACACACACACACACACCCUUUCCUAGGGUGUAACAUAUGAAUUAGAUGGGAUUGUAUCCAAUACAGCAUUUGUGCAAGAAGAAAAGAGACGUUUUAAGUCAAAUGUACAUUCUUAGCCAUUUUAAAACUUGUGCUGCAAACCAAUUCAAGCAAAAAACCAAUAUUGAGCAUUAUGUGUCAAACCGUUCUAAAAGGUCACCAAGGGCGAAAUGAGAAGUGUGUGUGUGUGUAUAAAUAAAACAAACUGAAAGGGAAGGGAGUGAUAUGUUUGGGGAACCCCUGAAGAUGUGCAGAGAUACUACGGUAAUUGGUCUUCUGAGAACGAUCUGUGUGGCUGUUUAAGCUAGGUAGGCUAAGAGAACCAACAGGCAGGAAUCAAUCACAGAAUUGUAAGUCAGAAGGGAUCUCGAGGGUCAUCUAGUCCAACAGGAGGCAUGUGAAAACAUUUGAAAACAGACUCCAUCCAAGCUGCUAAGUGUGGGAAAAAAUGGAAAAUUGUUGACAAAGGGCGUGGGGCAUGCUGGCCAGCUAAGCUGUUUUUCUGAAUUUCAGAGGAAGACAGCAACGCAGAUGUUGAUGUUAACAUCAGGCUCUCCCUUUUGCUUGGGGAAAAAGAGAGAGAGGGAGAGAGAGAGCUGCGGUGGAUGUCCAAGAAAGAUACUGCUAUCAUUAUGCCUUUCCAGUUCUAUUUAAAGUCCGCGUAGGAGCCAAGAGGAGAAGCUCAGCAUAAACACCACCAGAUCAGGGUAGUACCAGGUGUCAGCUAGCCCUGCAAAGUCACUGAAAUGUCAAGGAUUGUUUUUCCUCUCCUCCCUUGCUUUCGUCUGACUGGGAACUGCCAGUGUUUAUUUAAAAGAUAUCCUUCGCAUUUGGCAAGGAUGCCAGUGGGGCAGACGUUAAUGGAUUAUUAUUUGGAGCUGGCAGGCUGCCAAGGAGACAAGGAUAGCUUGGGCUUGCUACCCAAAGCCCCUGCCAUUAAGCAUGAGAAAAAGAGUCCAAGUAUUGGAACUGCCGGGCCUUGUGGUUUUCAGAGUUAGGUUGAACACGGCUUUCCAAUAAAUGCUCUUUGCUCUUAUAUUAGAUCUGACCUACUAAAAUUCCGUAGGGGAGAAUGGAAAGAGGUUGGGGGCAUUCAGCUACAGCUUCAAGGUCCCAAAGCAAUAAUGCCCUAGUUUGGCUGGUUAGUCCGUUGGGUUUUCGUCAGCUGCAGCGUCAUGCCGGUGAACGGUGCAAGGAAUGUCUUUUUCCACAGACAGAGAGGACCCGAUCAGAUAGCAGCUAAAUGAAGUGGAGGUUUCCAUGCUCGUUUCCGAUGGGUCUUUGAUGCAACAAGUCUGUAAUGCUGAAACCAUCUGCUCUGGCUUGUGGAACUUGUCAUUCACAUGGCAUGUCAUUCACAUGGACAUUUUGCAUCAGGCAAAGCUAGCAGUUUCACUCGUCUUGUGAAAGCCUUGACAUACAGAGCCACAGGCCAGGAAAAAUCCUUAGGAAAUGAGUUUCCAUGGGCAAUUGUUGAAAUGUUUUUGAGAUGCUUUCUGGGCACAUCUUAAGCCAUCUGCCAGAACAGGACGACAUGUGCAAACCACACAAAGUCAGCUGCUGUUUUGACCUCAGCAGUUAAAUAUCUGUACUUGAAUUCAGCCUGGGACUACUGGAUCCGGCCACUUGACUCAAUGGCACAGGCGGAUAAUCAAAACAUUGGGAAAACUAGAAAUUGAGGCAUAUAUAUAUCAUACGUUUACAUGAAACUACAAACAGUUCUGUUAAUUGUAUGAGUUAAACCAUCACAAGGCUGCCUCUGCCAACCUGGUGCUAUCCACAUAUUUUUGAACUACCACUCCCUGUGGUUGAUGGAAGUUGUACUCCAAAAUAUCUGCUGUACUCAAAGACCAUAAUUCCAAGCCAUAAUGACCUGGAGGAGAAAGAACAAGUUUCUGUUCUGGCAGAAUCCGUCAGUCACUGGGGUCCUCCAAACAGGUUUGGGUUAUGUAAUACCCUAUGUCCCAUGAUCGCUGCUAUUUCGACAAUGCCUGGUUAGGAAGUGCAGGUCCGUGGCACUCCAUUCUUCACAGGAACCGUCACAGACAAGUAGCAAUGGCCUCAGGGCUUCUUGUUGAGAGGCAGGUGGAUCAUUCAGCUUCCCAGCAUGUUUAGGAUUUGCUGGAGCUUCCCUGCCUAAGCUGGUGCAAGGUGAGGAGUUGUCAUCAGCUCACAGUGGUCAUAGAUUGCCCUGUAUAUGAUUUGGUAUAAGUCGUUUGGAAACUAAGUUAUUCCAUAAAAAUCAUUCCAGGAAUAGCCUGUGAUUUUGUAGGCCAAAUAGACACACUGGGGCAUAUUUUGAUUACCAAACAACAACAACAACAAC
Molecule: long non-coding RNA, 4604 nt
Filed under: Podarcis lilfordi (Lilford's wall lizard)
Lineage: Eukaryota; Metazoa; Chordata; Lepidosauria; Squamata; Lacertidae
Source: RNAcentral